CCCCUUGCCAGAGACGGGGAAAGCCUAUAUCCACAGGUGCCGGAGGGGCUUGCCCUUGGCUAUGGCGAUAAACGGCGCGUGGAAUAAGUGUUGUGGACCCGGGGCGGUACCCGGCGUCUCCACCAGUUUUCCCCUGAUGGGGAACAUGGGGACGAAACAGGCUCGACACGCAUGGUAAAGACCCGCCUUUUGCCCGGCAUUGUACCACCGUUAUCGGGCUAAAUCACAAGUGCCAAUGAUAACUCUGAGGUGCUCGCUGUCGCUGCAUAAGCGAUAAGCGCGGUUCGGGAGGGCACCGGGCAACAGAAGCCCUCCCACU
This 319-nucleotide transfer-messenger RNA is filed under the name Komagataeibacter rhaeticus. It matches the Rfam family "Alphaproteobacteria transfer-messenger RNA". From Rfam's summary of the family: Bacterial tmRNA, also known as 10Sa RNA or SsrA, is named for its dual tRNA and mRNA-like properties. Its role is to liberate the mRNA from a stalled ribosome. The record is from RNAcentral. Lineage: Bacteria; Pseudomonadati; Pseudomonadota; Alphaproteobacteria; Acetobacterales; Acetobacteraceae.